UACGGAGGAUGCAAGCGUUAUCCGGAUUUAUUGGGUUUAAAGGGUGCGCAGGUUGUUUGAUAAGUCAGUGGUGAAAGUCUGUCGCUUAACGGUAGGAUUGCCAUUGAUACUGUUAGACUUGAAUAUGAAUGAGGUAGGCGGAAUGUGUAGUGUAGCGGUGAAAUGCAUAGAUAUUACACAGAACACCGAUUGCAAAGGCAGCUUACUAAUCCAUCAUUGACGCUGAGGCACGAAAGCGUGGAGAUCAAA
RNAcentral lists this ribosomal RNA (249 nucleotides) under uncultured prokaryote. RNAcentral describes it as "partial 16S ribosomal RNA". It matches the Rfam family "Bacterial small subunit ribosomal RNA", at positions 524 to 772 of the family's 1533-position model. The record is from RNAcentral.